UAAGUAACUGAGAGGUAGACAGACAGACGGAGGGGCGGACGGACAACGACAAAAACAUUAUUGCAGCGAGGCGGACGGCGAUUAAAGUCCUAGAAGGCAUCUCAGACCCUGCAGUACAGAUGGCCUGACCAAAAAACUCCACCGAUCCCGGAAGGUGGAGCGUGCGCAGUGAGAGUGUGGGGAAAGAUUUAAUGAGCGCAGGCGCUGCAACAGCAGCGAGUUACGGGUGAGCAGGGACUAGCGACGAGCAUAAGCAGUGUACGGCGUGGCAUUCACCAAGAAGGGAGUGCAAGUUACAGUACUCGAGAGACUCUCGGCAGCAGCUCGGCAACAUGGCGGAUGAGACGGGGGAGAAAAUGCCUAUGAAGUGGCCAGACAUUCUGGUAGUUGUCUUGUACUUCGUCUUCGUCCUGGCUGUUGGCCUUUUCUCGUCAUGGCGGUCCAAGCGAAGCAGCAUGUCGGGCUACUUCCUGGCGUCCCGCAACAUGCACUGGAUCCCUGUGGGCGCUUCGCUCUUCGCCAGCAACAUCGGGUCGGGUCACUUUAUCGGACUGGCGGGCUCCGGGGCAGCAACUGGGAUUGGCAUUGCUUCCUUUGAGCUGAAUGUGAGUCUUCAUGUGUGUGUGUGUGUG
Molecule: long non-coding RNA, 632 nt
Organism: Eriocheir sinensis (Chinese mitten crab)
Lineage: Eukaryota; Metazoa; Arthropoda; Malacostraca; Decapoda; Varunidae
Exons: 4
Source: RefSeq, a predicted model, not a curated record